RNAcentral lists this long non-coding RNA (1427 nucleotides) under Mus caroli (Ryukyu mouse). RNAcentral describes it as "lncRNA (MGP_CAROLIEiJ_G0013404.1)". Lineage: Eukaryota; Metazoa; Chordata; Mammalia; Rodentia; Muridae. The record is from RNAcentral.
AAUGUUGACGCAAUCUAUAAAUAGUGGAACAAAAGGACCAACUUCCUCGGAGCUUUGCUGAAACUGCACAAAAAAAUCGAGCUGGGGGGUUCCCUGGUCCCCGAUGUUGGGGCGGAGAGCGCGGCGCCCAGGGAGGGGGCGGCGCAGACCGGCCUAGGGGACACCUGGUCGAGCGCAGCCGCCGCUCCGCUCGAGCCCUGCGCUCCAGUGCCCCCACUGGCUGGAGAGCUCGCCCAGACCAGGGGUCUUCCUCCGUCGCUGACAGAUUUUAACCGUUAGAAGAGUACCAGUUCUGGAAAACAACCAAAGUUUCUUUGAUUGAAUGCCCAUGUAAUGCAUUGGAAUAUGAUAGGCGAUUAAGGUUUAACAAUGUUAAAAUGAAGAUAUUACUAAAAUGACCCUCUAAAUAGCCCAACAAUUAUUAUUUUCUUUGUCCUGUGGAUUUGGCUUUGAAGGGUGUGCUGCUCUUAAUAAGUCUCUCUCUCGGGCAGAAACCUAUGUGUUCCUCUUCCAGAGAGCUAGUGAAGCCAAAAGCAUUCUCAUAAUGAUGGGCUACACCGACUGACAUUUACCAACUGUGUCAAAGCUACAGAAGCUAGGUAGACACUGCUGGAACUUUAACGGGAAUCAAACAAGUCUAUAAGAAGCACUGAGCUGUGCCACUACCCAAUCAGUGUUCUUCCAGAGCACACAAACGGAAGGGGGAGGAGCUUUCCAAUGAGAACUGUUGUGUGAUUAAUCAAAGAGGCUGACUAAAGCACACACCUAUAAUCCCAAUACUCAGAAAGACAGAGAAAGAAGGAUAUCAGCGCAAGGCCAACAAGGCUUCAAAGCAAGUACCAACCCAGUCUGGAUCAUGAGACCCCAUUUCAGAAACAAAUAAUAAAAGCUUGAUGAAGCUGCAAAAAUUACUCAUUUUAUCAAAUCCUUGUUCUUGAAUACUUAACUAUACACAAAGGCACUUGUGUGGCCAGUGGGUGCGGUCAGAAAGGAGUACAGGCUCACGUGACUCCGCUACAAGCUGAGACAGCUGCUGUUAUUAGGAAAACAAUGGAAGCCAGCAGUAUGUAGAUUUAGGUAGCUGACAAAUCCUGAAAAUGAAUAAAAUGAGCUGGGUACUUCCAGGAACACAAUACUUCUGGACCAUGAAAAGGGAAAAGGCUGGGUUUUUAUGUUAAAAUUUAAAUUUUUGCAAAAUGUACUUAUAAUCUUCCCAUUAAAGAUGCUGAUAAAUAGUAAAGUUAACAAAUGCGAGGGUUAUUGGGGAUUAUAUAAUGAAAUAUGUCAAUGUUUGGCGGUCUCGGUAAUAAUGUUAUAAAUCAUAGAGAGAAGACUUGUUUAAAAUAUAGUGUGGCUCAGUGGGAGAGCACUUGUCAAGACCCUGAGUUCAAUUCCCAAUACUGCAGAAAUAAAAAAUAAGUAUGAUC